This 466-nucleotide antisense RNA is filed under the name Homo sapiens (human). RNAcentral's name for it is "partial NPPA antisense transcript isoform NPPA-AS.9". The stretch from base 185 to 292 matches the Rfam family "NPPA antisense RNA 1 conserved region 3". Lineage: Eukaryota; Metazoa; Chordata; Mammalia; Primates; Hominidae. The record is from RNAcentral.
UCCAUGGCAACAAGAUGACACAAAUGCAGCAGAGACCCCAGGGGACAGGAGCCUCUUGCAGUCUGUCCCUAGGCCCAGCCCUGCUUGUCCUCCCUGGCUGUUAUCUUCAGUACUGCAAAGAGAACACAGACAUAUCUGGCUUGGUGACCUGGCUGUCCUGGAAAAGUCAGCUUCAUCAAAUUCUUUAGAAAAGGAAAAUACAGGGAAAGGGAUAAACCUCACUGACUUGGAGGAAAUCAAGAGGAGUGAGCACAGCAUCAGAAAGCCCCCUGGCCCCAGACUGCACCCGCUUUCCUGGCCCUACCUUGAAAUCCAUCAGGUCUGCGUUGGACACGGCAUUGUACAUGGGAUUAGCUCUGGUCUGACCUAGGAGCUGGAAUGCCAGUAAAAGGAGGAAGCUCACGGUGGUGGUGGAGAAGGAGCUCAUGCUGGCGUCGUCAAGGAGCAAUCCACUGCUUGCUGCUCU